AUUGAACGCUGGCGGCAUGCCUUACACAUGCAAGUCGAACGGCAGCACGGGUGCUUGCACCUGGUGGCGAGUGGCGAACGGGUGAGUAAUACAUCGGAACAUGUCCUGUAGUGGGGGAUAGCCCGGCGAAAGCCGGAUUAAUACCGCAUACGAUCUACGGAUGACAGCGGGGGACCUUCGGGCCUCGCGCUUUAGGGUUGGCCGAUGGCUGAUUAGCUAGUUGGUGGGGUAAAGGCCUACCAAGGCGACGAUCAGUAGCUGGUCUGAGAGGACGACCAGCCACACUGGGACUGAGACACGGCCCAGAUUCCUAGGGGAGGCAGCAGUGGGGAAUUUUGGACAAGGGGCGAAAGCCUGAUCCAGCAAUGCGGCGUGUGUGAAGAAGGCCUUCGGGUGGUAAAGCACUUUUGUCCGGAAAGAAAUCCUUGGCCCUAAUACGGUCGGGGGAUGACGGUACCGGAAGAAUAAGCACCGGCUAACUACGU
RNAcentral lists this ribosomal RNA (485 nucleotides) under uncultured bacterium. RNAcentral's name for it is "partial 16S ribosomal RNA". It matches the Rfam family "Bacterial small subunit ribosomal RNA", at positions 30 to 506 of the family's 1533-position model. The record is from RNAcentral.